Molecule: ribosomal RNA, 712 nt
Filed under: uncultured bacterium
Lineage: Bacteria
Description: bacterial SSU rRNA
Rfam family: Bacterial small subunit ribosomal RNA
Source: RNAcentral
AACGCGAAAAGGGCUUCGGCUCUUAGUAGAGUGGCGAACGGGUGGGUAACACGUGGGUGACCUACCUUCGAAUGGGGGAUAACGUCCCGAAAGGGACGCUAAUACCGCAUAACAUCCUGCUUUUGAACAGGUGGAGAUCAAAGCCGGGGAUCGCAAGACCUGGCGUUUGAAGAGGGGCCCGCGUCUGAUUAGCUAGUUGGUGAGGUAACGGCCCACCAAGGCGACGAUCAGUAUCCGGCCUGAGAGGGCGGACGGACACACUGGGACUGAGACACGGCCCAGACUCCUACGGGAGGCAGCAGUGGGGAAUUGUUCGCAAUGGGCGCAAGCCUGACGACGCAACGCCGCGUGGAGGAUGAAGGUCUUCGGAUUGUAAACUCCUGUUGCUCGGGACGAAAAGCUUCGACCUAACACGUCGAAGUCUGACGGUACCGGGUGAGGAAGCCCCGGCUAACUCUGUGCCAGCAGCCGCGGUAAUACAGAGGGGGCAAGCGUUGUUCGGAAUUACUGGGCGUAAAGGGCGCGUAGGCGGCCCGCUAAGUCGAACGUGAAAUCCCCGGGCUCAACCCGGGAACUGCGUCCGAUACUGGCAGGCUUGAAUCCGGGAGAGGGAUGCGGAAUUCCAGGUGUAGCGGUGAAAUGCGUAGAUAUCUGGAGGAACACCGGUGGCGAAGGCGGCAUCCUGGACCGGCAUUGACGCUGAAGCGCGAAA